AACGCUAGCUACAGGCUUAACACAUGCAAGUCGAGGGGCAGCAGGGGUUUAGCUUGCUAAAUUCGCUGGCGACCGGCGCACGGGUGCGUAACGCGUAUCCAACUUUCCCGUUACUCUUGGAUAGCCUUCCGAAAGGGAGAUUAAUACAAGAUGGCAUCAGAACUUCGCAUGUUAUUCUGAUUAAAGAUUUAUCGGUAACGGAUAGGGAUGCGUGACAUUAGAUAGUAGGCGGGGUAACGGCCCACCUAGUCUACGAUGUCUAGGGGUUCUGAGAGGAAGGUCCCCCACACUGGAACUGAGACACGGUCCAGACUCCUACGGGAGGCAGCAGUGAGGAAUAUUGGUCAAUGGUCGGAAGACUGAACCAGCCAAGUAGCGUGAAGGAUGAAGGUUCUAUGGAUUGUAAACUUCUUUUAUACGGGAAUAAAGCCCACUACGUGUAGUGGUUUGUAUGUACCGUAUGAAUAAGCAUCGGCUAACUCCGUGCCAGCAGCCGCGGUAAUACGGAGGAUGCGAGCGUUAUCCGGAUUUAUUGGGUUUAAAGGGAGCGUAGACGGGAUGUUAAGUCAGCUGUGAAAGUUUGGGGCUCAACCUUAAAAUUGCAGUUGAUACUGGCGUCCUUGAGUGCGGUUGAGGUAUGUGAAGUUCGUGGUGUAGCGGUGAAAUGCUUAGAUAUCACGAAGAACUCCGAUUG
Molecule: ribosomal RNA, 694 nt
Filed under: uncultured Bacteroidales bacterium
Lineage: Bacteria; Pseudomonadati; Bacteroidota; Bacteroidia; Bacteroidales
Description: bacterial SSU rRNA
Rfam family: Bacterial small subunit ribosomal RNA
Source: RNAcentral